Molecule: ribosomal RNA, 468 nt
Filed under: uncultured bacterium
Lineage: Bacteria
Description: partial 16S ribosomal RNA
Rfam family: Bacterial small subunit ribosomal RNA
Source: RNAcentral
GACGAACGCUGGCGGCGUGCUUAACACAUGCAAGUCGAACGGACAGGCCCUGCGUUUGUGGGGCGCUCGUGUGGCGAACGGGUGAGAAACACGUGUGUAACCCGCCCUUGUCUUUGGGAUAACUCCAGGAAACUGGGGCUAAUACCGGGUAGGAGCUCCUGCUGCACGGUGGGGGUUGGAGAGUUUCGGUGGUUGGGGAUGGACUCGCGGCAUAUCAGCUUGUUGGUGGAGUAGUGGCGUACCAAGGCUUUGACGGGUAGCCGGCCUGAGAGGGUGACCGGCCACAUUGGGCCUGCGAUACGGCCCAGUCUCCUACGGGAGGCAGCGGUGGGGAAUAUUGCGCAGUGGGCGGACGCCUGAUGCAGCGACGCCGCGUGCGGGAUGACGGCCUUCGGGUUGUAAACCGCUUUCGCCUGUGACGAAGCGUGAGUGACGGUAAUGGGUAAAGAAGCACCGGCUAACUACGUG